UUCGCGAAAAAGAAGAAGAGAAAAGACGAAGGGAUUUGUAUGUGACACUAAUAAUAUCCGAUCAUCUAGAACGCAGGCGUUGAGUUGAGAAUGGAAGGAGGGAAACGAGGCACGAUUCUGGUCACCAACGACGACGGUAUCGAUGCUCCUGGCUUAAGAGCAUUGGUUCACUCCCUCGUCAACGCCAACCUUUUCAACGUUCUAGUGUGCGCUCCUGAUAGCGAGAAAUCAGCUGUUAGCCACAGCAUCACUUGGCUCCAUCCAGUAGCUGUUAAGCAAGUACAGAUCGAGGGAACCACCGCAUUUGCUGUUUCUGGGACUCCCGCUGAUUGUGCUUCUCUAGGGAUUUCCAAAGCUCUCUUUCCCACAGUACCUGAUCUGGUGGUCAGUGGCAUAAACAAGGGUAGCAACUGCGGUUAUCACAUUGUUUACUCAGGCACUGUAGCUGGAGCUCGAGAGGCCUUCUUCAAUGAUAUACUUUCUAUCUCCAUUUCAUAUGACUGGUAUGGCAUAUUUGCAAUAUGCUUCUGGGUUAAAGGAAAGAGUAAGCUACAAGACUUCACCCUUGCUGCACAAGUAUGCUUACCUAUCAUAAGCGCUCUACUGGUUGAGACAAAGAAUCAAAGCUACCCUAGAAAAUGUUUUUUGAAUAUAGACGUGCCAAACAAUGUUCCUAACCAUAAGGGUUACAAGCUAACUAAGCAGGGUAAAAGUAUCAUCAAGACUGGGUGGAGGCAAGUCACAUCUGAGACAGAAGGACCAAAAAUGUCAUCUGAUAUGACCAAUACAGAUACAGAAACAUCAAAGAAUUUUGACUCAUCAUCUGCAUCACCAGAACAUCUUUUGUUUGCGAGAGAGGUAAUAGGUUCUGUACUUGAUGAAGAUGAUACGGACUACAAAUGUUUGCGGGAAGGAUAUAUUACUGUUACUCCUCUUGCUGCUCUCACUCAUGUGGAGGUAGAUUGUCAGGCCUAUUUUAAGAAUUGGCUACAAAGUGUCCCCGAACUCCCCUCGUCAUCAUCUUUAUAAUGCUAUUCCUCCGGUUCACUGGAAGUGAUGCCAACUCAAUCUGUUGCUAAAUCAAUUAUUUUGAUCCUGAGCAAUUUGGUUGCUCCGGUUGUGCUAUCCAUUCGAAAUAGCUUUCACGCGUCAACUUCAACAAGGAAAAUAGGAGAACAAACAACCAUUUCAACAACAGCUUAAAUUAGACAGCUUACCAGUUUUGAAAGCAGGUAUUAAAGAAUUUAAGGAGGAAAAUAAAAUAUGGAUGUUUAAAUAAGCUCUUAAUGGAUGCUUCAAAAGACAAAAAUAAAAUGGACAUCAUUCUAUGUGUUGUAUGCUAGAAAAGUUUUUAAAAAAAAAGGAAAAAAAAAAAGAAAUACACUGUGUAUGGACAUCAUAAAUAUUUUAUGUAUGUACAUUACGAACUUCGUAUCGAUUCUGUUUUGUGCACA
Molecule: RNA transcript, 1454 nt
Organism: Glycine soja
Lineage: Eukaryota; Viridiplantae; Streptophyta; Magnoliopsida; Fabales; Fabaceae
Gene name: 5'-nucleotidase SurE
Exons: 12
Source: RefSeq, a predicted model, not a curated record